RNAcentral lists this unclassified non-coding RNA (974 nucleotides) under Hevea brasiliensis (rubber tree). Lineage: Eukaryota; Viridiplantae; Streptophyta; Magnoliopsida; Malpighiales; Euphorbiaceae. The record is from RNAcentral.
UUUUUUGCCACACAUGAACAUUUCCCAGUUUCAGAGCAGCCAUUAGGACAAUCACAGCCCCUUGGAGGAAUAGGGCAGCACCAAUUAGGAUAUAUAACAUGAGUGAUGUAUUCAAACAGUGGAGGCUUUUCAUCGUCUAUGGUGUUCACAGCACAAAUGGGAAUCAACUCUUUACCUUUAGAGAUAUCAUCUACACAGAGACCCUCUCGUACUUUAAAUUUUUUGGACUUCUUCACCACUUUCCAAGCAAGCUCUGGUUGACCUGGAAUUCGAUCCAACCUAAACUUGAAGACAAGUUUUCCGUGUUGCCCCAUUUCCUGCCAACACUUCGUCACCAAAUAUAGUCCAUCAUAGACAUAUGUCCUAGUUUUUGCUUUGGAUGAUUCAGACACUCCACGAAUGACCCUCACAGGAUUCUUUGCAUCCACACUAUUCUUCAAAGCAAGAUUACCUCGUUCAAGCUUCUGAUCUUCGGGUUCCUUAUCUCCAACCUUCACAUUCCCUCCUGAACCCGUAUAUAUCAAAACAUCUGAGUCAUCCAUAUCAUCAUCAUAGCCCCCAGAUGCUACAAUACUUGUUGCAAGGACACUAUUACCUUCCUUCACAAAAUCUAUACCUCCUUGAAUUUGGCGAUGAAGACCAAUAAUAUUAAGCUCCACCCUGUACUGAAACUCAUCCCCAACUUCAACACCUGGAACAGAGCCAAUGAUGUUCUUGUUUGUGUUUACAUAUUUUCCUUUUUUUCUAAGAACAUUUGCUGCAGCUAAAUCAGGCCUCUUAAUAUUUUUCGACUUAGACUCUUCUUCCUUAACAAGUUUCCUAUAGACAACUUGGAAUAGACGCAAUGUUUCCCUAACUUUGUUUCUGGUGACAAACACAUCAUUACCAUCGGCUUUAUCACUCAAACUGCUAGGACAGGAAGGAGGAAGUGUCACACCAAAAUUACAAGAACUCCUAAUCAAUUGAAAAUCAUC